CCGAUGUGCACGGAGAGUUCUAAAGAGCUCCAGAAGAAGCCAGACCUCCUGGAGGAGUUCCAUCAGUCAGCUAAAACAUGAAGAUCAGUGAAAGGAAGAUCUUAUUAAAGCUGAAGCUGCUCGUCCUGAUCUCUAAUCAAUAAUCCAUUAAUGAUCGAUCAGAUCUGAUCAAUCUCUAAUCAAUGAUCGAUUAAUGAUCGAUCAGAUCUGGUCCUUCUGGACCAUCAAUGAUACACCCUGUUAAAAGGGUGUUUUCCUGCCAUUGUCUCCUUAGGGCUGCUCUGGGGUUCAGGCAUAUGGGUUCUGUAAAGCGUCUCGAGACAAUUUGACUAAUUGGCGCUAUAUAAAUAAAAUUGAAUUGAAUUGAAUCAACUCUCUGAGCGGCCUGAUGGCGGCGCUGCUGACUCCAGAGUGGACGAAGAAGAAGAGUUCAGGAGGUUCCGGUGAGCAGCAGGAGGAGGUUCUGAAGAGGUUCAGAGAAAACCGGAAGCGGUCCUUCAGCAGAUUCACUAGAACCCGGACACGUUUCAGAGCCUCCGACUGGAGGAAGCGGCCGAUCCGACGUUUGUGGACGGUUGCUGAGAGACGGGUUCUGGCGGAGCUCCACCCCGGUACCGGAGCACCGGUAACUCCCGAGCCUCAGACGGAGCAGCGCGACGCAUGCGCAGCUGUUGACGCGAGCAGUGUCACCCGUCUCCAUGGUAACGGCGUGUUGUGAUCAGACAUGGCGGAGCAGAAAGUCCAGAGCUGCGACAGGAGAGAGUCUAACCCGAGCCCUUUCCAUGGAUACAGUCAGAGAAGAAGUCACCCCCUGUACCGGACCACCAACCAGACGUACGGCAGCAACACACCUGGAGCUCACCUCACACAGUCCUCUCAUGUUUCAUCGACACAACCUGAGAGGAUACAACAGAACACGGAACAACAUGUGGAACACCAACAGAACACGGAACAACAUGUGGAACACCUACAGAACACGGAACAACAUGUGGAACACCAACAGAACACGGAACAACAUGUGGAACACCUACAGAACACGAAACAAAUUGUGGAACACCAACAGAACAUGGAACAACAUGUGGAACACCAACAGAACUGAAGCGCUCACGAACUCAGAGAUUUUUCUGUAAAGAACAUCAAUAAUUCAACAAACCACACAAGAAGAAUUAACUUUUCAAAAUGAGGAGAUCGUCAACACACCCGGAGAAUCGUGAGAACACACCUGGAGAAUCGUCAGAACACACCUGGAGAAUCUGUACGGUUCCAUUCCACUGAGUUCAGCCCAGAAAGGUUCUUUCCAGAACCCAACCCUAGAAUCAAAGUGAGUCCAGUCAGGACCCUCUGAAGCUGCUAGAACCAGACCCGACAGCUCCAUGUUAGAACCAUAGACGAGGGUGAAGAACUGGACAGUUGUGGUUCCACAGAAACACCUGGCUGCUGUUCCUGGUCCUACUGGAGUUCUCUGUAGUUGGACCAACAUGAGUUCAUUCCAGAGUUGCUCUUCUCACCCAUCAGUGCUUUCAUGGGAACGCUCCAGAACACCUGAAAGAACUCACCUGUCAUCAACCAUCAAUAGAAACUUCCGUAAAAACACCUGUUACCUCCUCCUCCCGGCCAAAAUCAGGACCAUGGAGACUGAACCUCCAGAACCUCCCGAACAUUCAGAACCUCCUCCUGACCUCCUGACAGCUCCUCAGCCAGCCGAUGUUUUUAAAAGAUGUUUGUGUUUAACAAAGCUGUUCAUGAAACGUUCCCCUGAAGUUUCUGUUUUUAUUUUAUCUGAUUGUUUUUGUUUUUAUCCUUUUAUAUCUUUAAUGUAGAAC
Molecule: long non-coding RNA, 1823 nt
Organism: Amphiprion ocellaris (clown anemonefish)
Lineage: Eukaryota; Metazoa; Chordata; Actinopteri; Pomacentridae
Source: Ensembl